Molecule: unclassified non-coding RNA, 932 nt
Filed under: Hevea brasiliensis (rubber tree)
Lineage: Eukaryota; Viridiplantae; Streptophyta; Magnoliopsida; Malpighiales; Euphorbiaceae
Source: RNAcentral
AUUUUUUUUUUUUUAAUUUAAUGAAUUUUUUUAAUGUCUGUUGAAUUUGAGAGGCAUAUUGUUUCUGCCUCGAUGGAAUUUAGUCUGCCUUCUUUGUUAGCAUUACCUCAAAGUGGCUUGCAGUUAAUUAUUGUUCCAGCGGAGUAGAUUACUGUAAUUAAUUGUCUUUUAUAAUGCUUAAUUCCUGUCUUAGAUUCUUCCAAAUGAUGGUUUGAAUUUUGAUGCCUUUCCACGCUCUUAUAUGGGCUGUUCCAAUGUCUGAAAAUCCUAAUGUAAGCUGGACUUUUCUUGUCUACCCUGAAUCCUAUGCUGUCUUCUCGUUGAAUAAUCUCUUGCUCUUGUUAAUUUAUGGGUGGGCUAUACCAUAUUAUCUCUGUUCGGUAGGGAAUGUGACUGUUUCUCCCCCAGUCCGGUCUAUAGGAAGAUGUGAUGUGUUACUAUCAUGAGCCCUACUUAAUGCUUCUUUUAUGUUAAGGAAGUGAAGAAUAGAUAUAUUAUCAUUUGGUAGAAAAAUAUGGGUGCAUCUAAGGAUCAGUUCUAUUAGUGAAGAAAACUUCUGGUGUUUAUUUUCCAAUUAUUUUAACUGGUCUUGGCAUUGGAAUGAUCAAAAUUCAGUUAAUAUCAUCCCAAUAUGAAGAAAGAAAAAAAUGUGUGCUAAAAAACAAUUGCAGCUGAUAUCUGUGGUGCUCAGUAGCUUCAAUUUCACAAGUUAAAUGUUGGACAUUGAGAUUGCUGUCCUUGCUUGCAAGACCGUUGUUUUUCCCUUAACGUGGGUACAGCAGUGCUAUAGGUUAACAUUGUUUUGUUCUGAUACUUGUGAAUAAACUUAUGUCACCAGAAUGUAAUUACCCAAUAUGCAAGAAAUGCCAACUUUUUGAUUUUUUCGUGGCUGCAUGAACUGUAUCUGAUUGAAUAUUUGUGCUGUUUUGCAG